GAUGAAGAACGUAGCGAAAUGCGAUAAGUAAUGUGAAUUGCAGAAUUCAGUGAAUCAUCGAAUCUUUGAACGCACAUUGCGCCCGCCAGCAUUCUGGCGGGCAUGCCUGUUCGAGCGUCAUUUCAACCCUCGACCUCCCCUUGGGGAGGUCGGCGUUGGGGACCGGCAGCACACCGCCGGCCCUGAAAUGGAGUGGCGGCCCGUCUGCGGCGACCUCUGCGUAGUAAUACAGCUCGCACCGGAACCCCGACGCGGCCACGCCGUAAAACACCCAACUUCUGAACGUUGACCUCGAAUCAGGUAUGACUACCCGCUGAACUUAAGCAUAUCAAUAAGCGGAGGA
Molecule: unclassified non-coding RNA, 343 nt
Filed under: soil metagenome
Description: partial contains 5.8S ribosomal RNA, internal transcribed spacer 2, and large subunit ribosomal RNA
Rfam family: 5.8S ribosomal RNA (bases 1-120)
Source: RNAcentral